GACGAACGCUGGCGGCGUGCCUAAUACAUGCAAGUAGAACGCUGAAGGGAGAGCUUGCUCUUCUGGAUGAGUUGCGAACGGGUGAGUAACGCGUAGGUAACCUGCCUGGUAGCGGGGGAUAACUAUUGGAAACGAUAGCUAAUACCGCAUAACAUUGACUAUUGCAUGAUAGUCAAUUGAAAGGUGCAAAUGCACCACUACCAGAUGGACCUGCGUUGUAUUAGCUAGUUGGUGGGGUAACGGCUCACCAAGGCGACGAUACAUAGCCGACCUGAGAGGGUGAUCGGCCACACUGGGACUGAGACACGGCCCAGACUCCUACGGGAGGCAGCAGUAGGGAAUCUUCGGCAAUGGACGGAAGUCUGACCGAGCAACGCCGCGUGAGUGAAGAAGGUUUUCGGAUCGUAAAGCUCUGUUGUAAGAGAAGAACGA
RNAcentral lists this ribosomal RNA (432 nucleotides) under Streptococcus cristatus. RNAcentral describes it as "bacterial SSU rRNA". It matches the Rfam family "Bacterial small subunit ribosomal RNA", at positions 28 to 452 of the family's 1533-position model. The record is from RNAcentral. Lineage: Bacteria; Bacillati; Bacillota; Bacilli; Lactobacillales; Streptococcaceae.